Molecule: long non-coding RNA, 427 nt
Organism: Ziziphus jujuba (common jujube)
Lineage: Eukaryota; Viridiplantae; Streptophyta; Magnoliopsida; Rosales; Rhamnaceae
Exons: 2
Source: RefSeq, a predicted model, not a curated record
UGGUGCACGUGCGAGUGCUUGUUGUGAGGCCAAAAAUUGCAUCUUCUUCUUCCACAAAAAAUGAUAAGAAAGAAAGAUAUCUGUGAACACAAAAACAUCUACUUGUAAGAGCAAGCUUUUUUGUGUGUCGCCCAAAAUGUCCGCUUUCUGUGCCGUUUCGCUGUUUCCGUACAGCCUUUUAUGGCGACCCAAGCUUACGAGGCGUUCCGUUUCGUGCUCUGUCGACUCUCUCUUGCUGAUAUAGGAAAAACAAUUGGAUGAAAAUAUUGGUGAGCUUAAUUUUGACUAGCCAGAGUGAUUGUGAGAGGCUUUGUUUGGUGGAGUUGUAUAUGAUUUUGCACAACUUUGUGGGUGGUAUAAUUAUGAUAAAGAUAGUUUGUAUUUGUUUAGUUUCAUUUUCUUAAUUAGCAAAAAGAACAUUGCUAGU